This 492-nucleotide ribosomal RNA is filed under the name uncultured bacterium. RNAcentral describes it as "partial 16S ribosomal RNA". It matches the Rfam family "Bacterial small subunit ribosomal RNA", at positions 29 to 507 of the family's 1533-position model. The record is from RNAcentral.
AGUGAACGCUGGCGGUAGGCCUAACACAUGCAAGUCGAACGGCAGCACAGUAAGAGCUUGCUCUUACGGGUGGCGAGUGGCGGACGGGUGAGGAAUACAUCGGAAUCUACUUUUUCGUGGGGGAUAACGUAGGGAAACUUACGCUAAUACCGCAUACGACCUACGGGUGAAAGCAGGGGAACUUCGGACCUUGCGCGAUUGAAUGAGCCGAUGUCGGAUUAGCUAGUUGGCGGGGUAAAGGCCCACCAAGGCGACGAUCCGUAGCUGGUCUGAGAGGGUGAUCAGCCACACUGGAACUGAGACACGGUCCAGACUCCUACGGGAGGCAGCAGUGGGGAAUAUUGGACAAUGGGCGCAAGCCUGAUCCAGCCAUACCGCGUGGGUGAAGAAGGCCUUCGGGUUGUAAAGCCCUUUUGUUGGGAAAGAAAAGCAGCAGGUUAAUACCCCGCUGUUCUGACGGUACCCAAAGAAUAAGCACCGGCUAACUUCGUG